Molecule: ribosomal RNA, 465 nt
Filed under: Vreelandella stevensii
Lineage: Bacteria; Pseudomonadati; Pseudomonadota; Gammaproteobacteria; Oceanospirillales; Halomonadaceae
Description: partial 16S ribosomal RNA
Rfam family: Bacterial small subunit ribosomal RNA
Source: RNAcentral
CCUACGGGAGGCUGCAGUGGGGAAUAUUGGACAAUGGGGGCAACCCUGAUCCAGCCAUGCCGCGUGUGUGAAGAAGGCCCUCGGGUUGUAAAGCACUUUCAGUGAGGAAGAACGCCUGGUGGUUAAUACCCAUCAGGAAAGACAUCACUCACAGAAGUAGCACCGGCUAACUCCGUGCCAGCAGCCGCGGUAAUACGGAGGGUGCGAGCGUUAAUCGGAAUUACUGGGCGUAAAGCGCGCGUAGGUGGCUUGAUAAGCCGGUUGUGAAAGCCCCGGGCUCAACCUGGGAACGGCAUCCGGAACUGUCAAGCUAGAGUGCAGGAGAGGAAGGUAGAAUUCCCGGUGUAGCGGUGAAAUGCGUAGAGAUCGGGAGGAAUACCAGUGGCGAAGGCGGCCUUCUGGACUGACACUGACACUGAGGUGCGAAAGCGUGGGUAGCAAACAGGAUUAGAUACCCUAGUAGUC